RNAcentral lists this ribosomal RNA (484 nucleotides) under uncultured bacterium. RNAcentral's name for it is "partial 16S ribosomal RNA". It matches the Rfam family "Bacterial small subunit ribosomal RNA", at positions 30 to 507 of the family's 1533-position model. The record is from RNAcentral.
AUUGAACGCUGGCGGCAGGCCUAACACAUGCCAGUCGAGCGGAUGAAGGGAGCUUGCUCCUGGAUUCAGCGGCGGACGGGUGAGUAAUGCCUAGGAAUCUGCCUGGUAGUGGGGGAUAACGUCCGGAAACGGGCGCUAAUACCGCAUACGUCCUGAGGGAGAAAGUGGGGGAUCUUCGGACCUCACGCUAUCAGAUGAGCCUAGGUCGGAUUAGCUAGUUGGUGGGGUAAAGGCCUACCAAGGCGACGAUCCGUAACUGGUCUGAGAGGAUGAUCAGUCACACUGGAACUGAGACACGGUCCAGACUCCUACGGGAGGCAGCAGCGGGGAAUAUUGGACAAUGGGCGAAAGCCUGAUCCAGCCAUGCCGCGUGUGUGAAGAAGGUCUUCGGAUUGUAAAGCACUUUAAGUUGGGAGGAAGGGCAGUAAGUUAAUACCUUGCUGUUUUGACGUUACCAACAGAAUAAGCACCGGCUAACUUCGUG